This 487-nucleotide ribosomal RNA is filed under the name uncultured bacterium. Its description in RNAcentral is "partial 16S ribosomal RNA". It matches the Rfam family "Bacterial small subunit ribosomal RNA", at positions 28 to 507 of the family's 1533-position model. The record is from RNAcentral.
GAUGAACGCUAGCGAUAGGCUUAACACAUGCAAGUCGAGGGGCAGCACAAGGUAGCUUGCUAUCUGGGUGGCGACCGGCGCACGGGUGCGUAACGCGUAUGCAACUUGCCCUAUACAGGAGGAUAACCCAUCGAAAGACGGACUAAUACUGCGUAUGCUCACAACUUGGCAUCAAGUGGUGAGGAAAGAAAUUCGGUAUAGGAUAGGCAUGCGUCCCAUUAGCUUGUUGGUGAGGUAACGGCUCACCAAGGCAACGAUGGGUAGGGGAACUGAGAGGUUUAUCCCCCACACUGGUACUGAGACACGGACCAGACUCCUACGGGAGGCAGCAGUGAGGAAUAUUGGUCAAUGGGCGCGAGCCUGAACCAGCCAAGUCGCGUGAAGGAUGACUGUCUUAUGGAUUGUAAACUUCUUUUAUACGGGAAUAACAAGAGUCACGUGUGACUCCCUGCAUGUACCGUAUGAAUAAGCAUCGGCUAACUCCGUG